RNAcentral lists this unclassified non-coding RNA (495 nucleotides) under Lodderomyces parapsilosis. Its description in RNAcentral is "Candida parapsilosis sequence contains 18S rRNA gene, ITS1, 5.8S rRNA gene, ITS2, 28S rRNA gene". The stretch from base 159 to 312 matches the Rfam family "5.8S ribosomal RNA". The record is from RNAcentral. Lineage: Eukaryota; Fungi; Ascomycota; Pichiomycetes; Serinales; Debaryomycetaceae.
GAUCAUUACAGAAUGAAAAGUGCUUAACUGCAUUUUUUCUUACACAUGUGUUUUUCUUUUUUUGAAAACUUUGCUUUGGUAGGCCUUCUAUAUGGGGCCUGCCAGAGAUUAAACUCAACCAAAUUUUAUUUAAUGUCAACCGAUUAUUUAAUAGUCAAAACUUUCAACAACGGAUCUCUUGGUUCUCGCAUCGAUGAAGAACGCAGCGAAAUGCGAUAAGUAAUAUGAAUUGCAGAUAUUCGUGAAUCAUCGAAUCUUUGAACGCACAUUGCGCCCUUUGGUAUUCCAAAGGGCAUGCCUGUUUGAGCGUCAUUUCUCCCUCAAACCCUCGGGUUUGGUGUUGAGCGAUACGCUGGGUUUGCUUGAAAGAAAGGCGGAGUAUAAACUAAUGGAUAGGUUUUUUCCACUCAUUGGUACAAACUCCAAAACUUCUUCCAAAUUCGACCUCAAAUCAGGUAGGACUACCCGCUGAACUUAAGCAUAUCAAUAAGCGGA